This 485-nucleotide long non-coding RNA is filed under the name Brassica rapa (field mustard). Its description in RNAcentral is "long non-coding RNA (BRAP_LNC000590)". Lineage: Eukaryota; Viridiplantae; Streptophyta; Magnoliopsida; Brassicales; Brassicaceae. The record is from RNAcentral.
UUUAGGUAGCUCCGUUAUGGGCGAUGGUUUGGUUUUACAAUUUGGGUUAAGGGUUUACGGUUUGGGUUUAGGGUUUAGGGGGUUAGGGUUUAGGUAGCUCCGUUUGGGUCUAUGGUUUGGGUUAAGAAUUUGUGUUUAGGGUUUGGGUUUAUGGUUUAGAGUUUUGGUUUAGGGUUUAGGUAGCUCUGCUAUGGUUUACGGUUUGGGUUAAGAUUUUGGAUUUAGAGUUUGGGUUUAGGGUAUACGGUUUGGGUUUAAAAGUCUACCGUUUGGGUUUACAGUUUAGAGUUUGGGUUUAGAGUUUAGUGUUUAGAGUUAUGGUUUAGAUAGCAGGUUUAGAGUUUAUUUGGUUGUGUUUCAUUAUGUUAACUAACAUCAAUUACCAUGCUAUUCUAAAUGAAAUAUAUUAUAGUUAGAGUGAAAUUAUUCGUGUGACUAUAUUAAAUAGUGUGUAGUAUAGUAUGAUAAUUUUAUCUUCUGCAUUU